AAAGGAAAAAGAAGAGAACGGUAAAAGAAUAGAAAAACCGUGAGGGAGAAGAGAAGAGAGAGACCGGUGGCUCUAUGAAGGAAAAAAGAGGGAGAAAUCUUCAUGGAAGAAGAAGCAAAGGUAUAACAUUAAUUUUCUUUCUUCCUAAGCUUUGUUCUCUUUCUUUUUGUAAAUUGAUGGAAAGGGGUUUUUGAUUUGAAAGUUCAAGCCCCUAUGAUCUAUGUGUUUUCCAUGGAUUCAAGUAUGGAUUUAUGCAUUUUGAGUGUUGAUUUGGUUUGAAUCAAAAAGGAAAAGAAAAAUAAUUUUUCUAGUUUUGAAACCCAAAUUUCUUUGUACUUUAAAAAUCCACUGUUUUAAAUCUAUAACUCCUUUUUACGAUCCGUCAAAGAGGGGUGCUAGAUAUAUGUGUUUAUUAGUUAACCCAAGUGGUAGCACUCAAAAAUAUUGAGUUUUCAUGGGGUAGUGACUGAUUAAGCCAAAACAGUCCCGUUUUUGGUAGAAGGAAACAAACUGUUUUGGGGCAGUUUCUGGCGGGGGCAAUUUCGUCCACUUUUUUUUGCUUUAAGAAUUCUGGAAAAAAUAGAAGUAGUAAUAUCAUAAGAUUUUAAGGUUGUGUAAAAAUUUGAGAAUUUUUGGCCAUACGGUUUGAGAGAUAUGGAUUUUACGGUGAAGGGCUAUUUGUAUGAAACCACCCAAAUAAUUCUAUGUGUAUAAGUCCAAAAAUUACAAAAUUUGUACUGGAAGUACAUGUGUAUAACAGGAACAUGCUGUAAAAAUUUCAAAAUUUUUGGAGUUAAUCUCGAUUUAUGAAAAAUCGGAGAAUAUUUGGCUAUUAUGGACUAUUUAAAUAUAGUAAAUCUAUUUUAAAAAUUUCGGGAAAAAUAUAUGUUCAAUAUGAAAUUAUAUUCUGUCACAUCCCAAAAAAAAAAUAUUUUUGGAACUGAUUUGGUAUUUUUCAUCUAAAUGAUGAUAAAUGGAUAAAUGGAUUUAAUUAAAUAUAUGAUGUUCAAAAAUAAGAAAAAUACGAUUUAUGACUUGAGACCCUUGAGCAUGGCUUAUGCAGGUUUUUGAUGAAGUUUUGGGUCGGGUGUGAAGUGUUGUGAUGUUUAUGGCAUUUUAGAAUGCUUAAACAAGUUGAUUAAUAAAAGGAAAACAAUUGAAAAUAAUUGUUUAUUUAUGUGAUUAAUGACUUAAAUUAUUGGAUUAAAAUAUUAUUUGUAGUAUUUGACUGGAAUGUUAUUAAAAGAUUAAUAAAUCUUAGCGUAAAAUAUUAUUACAUAAUUAAUAAUAUUCGACGGGAGAUUUAAAAUAAGAGAUUUAUGAUAUUUUUCAAUGUAAUUGUUGAAAUUGGUAUUCAAUGAACUAUAUUAUGUGUUUGGGCAAAGGAUAGAAAAAUAAUAAGUGAUUUAGUGUUUUUCAUGAAAAGUAUAUGGAAUUCAGCUUGCUGGAUUGAAAAGAAGCUUACUGAAUUGAAGGAUUUAGAAUCCAAACUUGCUGGAUUGAAGGAAUUAAGAAUCCAGGCUUGCUGGAUUGGAUAUAUGUUGAAUCUAGGUCGCUGGAUUUGGAAUCCAGUUUGCUGGAUUUGGAAUCCAGUCUGCUGGAUUGGAAAUUUGGUUGCUAGAUUUAGAAUCUAGGUUGCUGGAUUAGUAUUUAACUUAUUAGAUGUUAAAGAAUAACUUGUGAAAUGAAAAAAAAACGAGUGAUAAAUCAUAAUGUAUAUGAUACAGUGAUUGAAGAAUUAUCAAAGGAUGAUAAUAAUGCUAAUGUUUUAAGGUUUUAUCUAAUAUUUAAUUAUGUGAUUAAGUGUUAGAUAAUUGAUUGAUAAAGUAAUUGUAUUAUGAUACAAAGUGUGAUAUGUUGAUUAAAAUACCAAUCUUAUUAAUGAUAGGUCUUACAAAAGAAGUUAACUUAAAUUACGUAGCAGUAGUCAACGAAUCAGGCAAGUUUCCUAACUCAACUUGAGUUGUUAAUUCAAAGCAUGUUAGUGGUUAAUCAUUGUUGAUUAUACCACAUCAAUAAUUUAUUGAUUCGCACAUUGUGCAUGUUGUAUAUGUUCAUCAGGUAUGAAAGGCUGAUCACCUUCAUUACCAUAUGUUUCGGUUAAACUUGUUCAUGUUAAUUGUUGACAUCCAAUAUUAUUGGUUCAGUCAUUCAAUCAUUGAAAAUUGAUUCAUGUUCUUUCACAAUUAUUAUAUUGUUGAAAGUUUGAAAGCUUAUUCAUUCUUUUCAAUCAUGAUAUAUCUCCAUUGUAUUUAAAACUUGUUGGGCAAAUUUGUUGCUCACCCUUGCUAUAUCAUGAUAAAAUUUUCAGAUUUAGAUGAAAGUUCGAAUAAAGACAGAGGUAAAGUCAAAGUGCAAGAUUAAUUUAUGUUGCAGUUAGAUCUAUUAAAUUUUCUGACGAAAAUAACACUGUAAAUCUUCUAAGAUAUUGAAGGUAUGUAUUUAGUUAAGGUUGUAGACCUUGGGAAUGAUGUGUAAAAGUUUAAUGUAUAAACAAUUUAUGUUUAUAUCUUCCGCAAUAGUUAUAGAAAUGAUGUACCAGAUCUGUGGUAAGAAGUACCCGGAUUUGGGGACGUCACAUAAUAUAAAACCCCAAAUUUUACGAAUAAAGAUUUAUUUUUCUCGAAAUAUUUUUUUUAAUAUUAUGGUGUGGAUUUGAGAUUGUGUUAUAGUUGUGGGUAGUAUUUAUAAAUUUUGCAAAGUAUGCAAGUUGUUAUAUAAUAUUCGAUUGGUAGGGGAAUAUUCAUUUUAAAAGGGAAUAUUCGUACGACGGCACAAUCAUUGGUGGACCCCACAACGGAAGUAUUAUCGUAGUUAGAAAACGAUAGAAUUAUCAUUUAAUAAAAAUAACGGCGAGAGUGUUACCGUUAAAACUGUUGAACUACUCCGUAGUAAAAGUACAGUAAUAUGCGUGGUUGCAUAGUAGCACACUGUAUUAAUUAUUGAUGCUUACGUUAAAAGUCACUCAGUUAUACUCAAUUAUUGCUACAGUAAUUGUUGCAUCAUAUCUCUCAUAUUAUUGAUUCAAUUAUUGUCACAGUAUCAUCUGCAUAAUAUGAUAUAUUAUUAAAACAAUAAUUGAGACGACAAAGUUAUUCAUAUUAUUAAAUUGCAAUAUUUACAAUUUCUAGAAGUUAUAUCAAGGAGAGGUUUGGUAAUCUAAUUGCGCGCCAAUAUGGAGAAAUCCUUAUCGGAAAGCCCCCCCUUUCCUGGGAACGACCUAGUUGUUAAAUAUUGUGAGUUAUAAUAUUAAUGAUGAAUAAGUUCGUGUUGAUUAAAGAUGAAAUGGAUAGUUCCAUUUUGUUGGAAUUAUAAGUGUUAGUGGAAAUCGAUAUUUAUUUCGAUAAUAAUUGAUGUCUGGAGGUUAUAUUGACCAAUCGGGUAAUUAACCGGAUAAAUGAGCAAUUAAUUGCUAUUAAUUCACAUGCUUAUAACUAUGUGUUCACAUGUGUGUACUAUUGAUUCACAUGAUUUACUAUUAGGGGAGUUGGUGCAAGAUUGAUAAUACUUGCAUGACUAAAUUAAAAAUGGAGGUAUAGAUGAAGGUACUAUACUAUAAUUAAUUUUUUCACAUGUUUAGAACUAUUGAGUCACAUGAUUUACUAUUGAUUCACAUGAUUUACUAUUAGGGGAGGUGGUGCAAGUUUGAUAAUACUUGUAAGACUAAAUUAAAAAGGAAGAAAAAGAGGAAGGUAUUAUACUGGAAUAUUUCGAGCCCCAAAAUGUGCAAUUAUUGAAACUAUAUUUUCCUAUAAAUAGAAGCUCAUUCUUCCUUCAUUUCUCACCAAUUCACUAAAGCUAUAGAGCAAUUAUUAUAGAGAGAAAUUAUAGAGAGAAAGAAGAAGAGAAGUCUGCUACCUCACUAUUCCAGUAUCCAGUCUUCUUUUGAGGUAAGGGAUAUUAUUUGUUUCAUAUUCAUGAAGAGAGCUUCUGUUAUUCCAUUCUUUAUUAUUAUGUUGGAAUAACCUGUCUAUGCGAAGUACCACAUAUAUGGUGAAAUUCUUCUAUUAUUCUAUUCUUUAUUAUUCUGUUGGAAUAUCCUAUCUAUGCGUAUUACGCAUGACCUGGUUCCAUUAUUUAUUAUUCUGUUGGAAUAACCUGUCUGUGCGGUUUAUCGCAUACCUGGUGAUUUCUGUUGUUAUUCCAUUCUUUAUUAUUCUGUUGGAAUAACCUGUUUGUGCAGUCUAUCGCAUGCCUGGUGAUUUCUGUUGUUAUUCCAUUCUCUAUUAUUCUGUUGGAAUAUCCUGUCUGUGCGAAUUACGCAUGACCUGGUUCCAUUCUUUAUUAUUAUGUUGGAAUAACCUGUCUAUGCGAAGUACUGCAUACAUGGUGAAAUUCUUCUGUUAUUCCAUUAUAUAUCAUUAUGUUGGAAUAACCUGUCUGUGCGGUUUAUGGCAUGCCUGGUGAUUUCUGUUGUUAUUCCAUUCUCUAUUAUUCUGUUGGAAUAUCCUGUCUGUGCGAAUUACGCAUGACCUGGUUCCAUUCUUUAUUAUUAUGUUGGAAUAACCUGUCUAUGCGAAGUACUGCAUACAUGGUGAAAUUCUUCUGUUAUUCCAUUAUAUAUUAUUAUGUUGGAAUAACCUGUCUAUGCAAAGUACCGCAUACAUGGUGAAAUUCUUCUGUUAUUCCAUUCUUUAUUGUUCUAUUGGAAUAACUUGUCUAUGUAGAUUUACCACAUGCAUGGUGAAUGAUCCUUCGUAUUCAUUCUUUAUUAAAUUAUGGAAAUAAUUUAUCUAGGUGGAUUACCGUAUGGCGGGUGAAAAUCCAUUUGCAGUUUCAUAUAUUCUAUUAUACUCGUAUGAGAUAUCAUUUCUUUUGUACUCGUCAUGGAAUAUCAUUUUCUUUGGUAUUCUUUUUACGAGUUACUAUUCACGGGUUACUAUUCACCCAGUUACUAUUCACUCUAGUAUUAUUCACUCGGGUAUUCGGGGCACUUUUUGUGUCAGAGUACUAUCCACGAGUUACUAUUCACCCAAAUUACUAUUCACCCGAAUAUUAUUCACUCGGGUAUUUGGAGUACUUUUAUGUCAGGGUGCUAUUCACGAGGUACUAUUCUCAAAGUACUAUUCACAUGGUACUAUUCACGGGGUACUAUUUUUCCGAAAAAUAUAUUUCUUUUCUGUCCAAAUUAUUUUUGGUGCAUGAAUAUUAUUCUUGAAUUUUACUCUACAAAGAAGUAUCAUGUUGACAAUUUGGACGUUAUUGAUUUCUGGAUAAAUUAAAUUAUAAAUCUUUAAAAUUUAUCCUUGAACUUGUUUUAUUGAAUUAUUAUGUCAUUGUCAUCAUCCUCAUGCUUAUAUUUUAAUUAAAGUCAUCUUUGGCUUACGUGCAUAGAUGGACUUGGUAUGAUUUGACCAGGGAUUAUUCGAUAUAAUCAUGACCGUAAUAUAAUGAAUUCUGUGGUAAAAGUCGUCAUUGGCCUGUGGUUCAAUAAUGGACAGUUGUUGGUAUGAUUAUGACCAGGGAUUAUUCGGUAUAAUCAUGACCAUUGAUGAUUACAUGAAUAUCCUUGGCCCGUAGUGCAGGGAUGAUUUGAUGAUGUGGUUUAUUUAUUAAGCUGAGUCUCAGCGAUAAAGUUGAUGAAAAACUUUUUAAAUCAUAGAAGAUAGUAGAUUUUAUGCUCUACUUGACUCUUCUAAUGGAUUGCUUAUUCCGCUGCAGUUGUUGAUCUAAAACUUGUUGUCUAUUGUAUUCUAUCAGUUGUUAUACUGUUGAAGGCUAAAGAUAAUUUAUUUUGUAUUAUCUUAGUCAUAAUAUUUCUUAUUGGGCUAGUUGAGGUCACCCUUUCUUUCAUUGUUCUCUUCAGGAAAUGAGAAUAUAGCUGGGACGAGUCGGGGAACGGAUUGACGGUCCAGAUGGUUGUUUUAGUAGUCCUCACUAUUCUGUGAAAUAAUGUGAUAAUAAUUGUAAUGAAGACUCCAUUGAGAGUGGAUAUUGACUAAGAAGGCAAUAUUCCUAUUUAAACUCUCAACUAUGUUUUGUCGUAUUUUACACGACUGUUGUAUAAUUAAGUUGUAUUUGAUUUAUGUACCAUGUAUUUGGCGACCCAAGAUGGGUGAUGUAUGCCUGUUUUGGGGGCGUCACAGUUGGUAUCAAAGCUUAGGGAUAUGAUCCCUGGCUGAGAUGUGAGAUAAGAACUAGGAGGGGAGAGACGGGGAAUUCCUUCGCUAGUAUGACCUACCUAAGUUUAUUUGGUAUUUAAUUGGUCGGUCAGAGUAUAGGGAUAGUAUGUGAUAUGUCAAUUAACCAUUGUUUUGUGACAGUGUUUGAAAUGGCAUCUGAAAAUGUUGAGAUCAGCAAUGAAGCACAUGAGACUGUUGAGUCACCAACGAUCAACACCUAGGAUAAUGUGCAACAUGAAGACAAUAAUCCUCAGGUAAAUAACAACACCGAUCAAAUGAUGAACGAUGGGAUGUUCAAAGGCUUUAUGCAAUUCAUGCAACAUCAGGUAAGAGAGACUCCUGUUCAAAAUAUAGGUGGAAAUAAUGGCAACCCACGGUCGAUCACCGCUAAGCAGUUCAAGGAGCUGGGACCAACAGAGUUUUUGGGAAAGCCAGAACCACUUAAGGCGGAGACGUGGUUAAAGUAGAUCACCAAGAUAUUUGAUGUAUUGGGAUGCUUCGAGGAGCAAAAGGUUCCCUUUGCCACCUUUAUGUUGCGUGAAGAGGCAGAUUACUUGUGGGAAUCUGUAAAACGUACCCAGCCUGACGCACUCAAGAUGUCUUGGGAGAAGUUCCAAGAGCUGUUCAACAACAAGUACUUUCCCGAAAGUAUUCGUCACUUGAAGGAGGUGGAAUUCAUCAAGUUGGAGCAAACAAUAUGAUUGUGUCGCAAUACGAGGCUAAAUUUGUGGAGUUAUCCCAGUUUGCAUCCCAUUUGGUCGAUAAUGAGGAGCGAAUGACGCGAAUAUUUCUAAGAGGUUUGAAACCUGAUAUACGUCAAUACCUCAUUUCUCACAAAAUUUGUUUAUAUUCAGAUGUUGUGAAUAGGGCUCAGUUAUUAGAGCGCGAUAAUGAGUCAGCACAACCAAAAGGCAAUGACCAACAACGCGAUAAUAAUCGUACCAGUGGCAACGACCAUCGGAACAACGAUAACCAUCGUGGAGGAAAUUAUCAUGCCAGAAAUGGUAACCACUUUGGUGGUAAUCAUGGCCAAGAUAAUAGAAGUGAAAGUUUCAAGAAGAGGAGAUUCAAUAAUAAUGGAAAGACGUCAGCACCAGCACCUGUUGUUAAGGAAGGAGAACGACCGCUGGUCGUAUGUUACAAAUGCGGAGGGGACGGACACAUCAGUCCAAACUGUAUGCAGCAGUCCAAAGUGUGUUUCAAUUGUGGAAGAGAAUGUAACCUAGCCCGAUUUUGUCAUGUACCAAAAUCAACUCCAGCUGGGACGAUGGCUCCAAAGGCGGAUACAGACAAAACAAAGUCGGUGGUUUCAGGGAGAGCAUUUUUCGCGACUUCUCAAAAAGCGAGUAACCCGAACGAAGUUAUCACAGGUUAGUUAAUUAUGAAUUUUUGCAAAGUCUAUACCUUAUUAGAUACCGGUUCUACCCAUUUUUUUAUCUCUCUUGCUUGCGCUCAACGUUUAAAUUUGAUUCCGGAGAAAUUAGACUUUGACUUAUCGGUUGAAACUCCGUUAGUAGAAACCUUCAUUUCAUGUGCUAUCUAAGUCUUGGAUGAGAGUCACAGUUUUUAAAUGAUAUUUCUAUCAUUAAUAAAUUUCCUCACGUAUUCUCGAAGAACUUUCUGGCCUAAUCCAGAGCGUGAAAUCGAAUUUUGUAUUGACCCCAAUACAAAACCAAUUUCUAAAACCCUUAAAUAGUUCUUCAACCAAAAUGAACGUAUAAUGUGCCAAAGACGUUGGCUCGAGCUGUUGAAGAUUACGACCAUACCAUUCAAUAUCAUUGUGGAAGAACGAACGUGGUAGCUGACGCGUUGAGUAGAAGAUCGUAUGCGUUUACGAGUGCGAUGUUGUUAACACAAAGACCCAUUUCGUAUAACUUUCAAAUGAUGAAGAUAGAGUUAAAUACUCUAAGGACCCACGUGGUGAUAUCAAAUAUACGAGUAGAAUCGACUUUAAUAAAUAAAGUUAAAGCCGCUCAAGCUACACACCCGAAUCUGAUGAAUUUGAAGAAGAUGGUUGAAGAGGGCGUUAUUCUAGAAGCAAGACUCGAUGAAGAGAGAAAAUCUCAACCCUCGAUUUUAUUGGCCCAUUUUAAAUCCUCGAUUGAGUAGGAACUGUAGCCUAUAGACUCGCUUUACCACCAAGUAUAUCGCGUGUUCAUAACAUUUUUCACGUAUUGAUGUUACGUAAAUAUGUGGACGACUCGAACCACAUUAUUGAAUUAGAACUGGACGAGAUAACAGAAGAUUUAACAUAUGAGGAGAUACGUGUUAAAAUCUUGGAUAAGAAUGAUCAUAUUCGACACUCAAAGGUUAUACCUCAAGAGUUAGAAUCUGAAAUGAAGUCAAGGUAUCCUCACCUCUUCGGCAUACCAAGUACGUACGUAAAUUUCGAGGGAGAAAUUUCAUAAGGAGGGGAGAUUGUAAAACCCCAAAUUUUACGAAUAAAGAUUUAAUUUUCUCAAAAUAUUUUUUUAAUAUUAUGGCGUGGAUUUGAGAUAGUGUUAUAGUUGUGGGUAGUAUUUAUAAAUUUUUCAAAGUAUGCAAGUUGUUAUAUAAUAUUUGAUUGGUCGGGGAAUAUUUUUUUUAACAGGGAAUAUUCGUACGAUGGCACAAUCAUUGGUGGACCCCACAACCGAAGUAUUGUCAUAGUUAGAAAAAGACAAAAUUAUCAUUAUAUAAAAAUAAUGGUGAGAGUGUUACCGUUAAAACUGUUAAACUACUCGAUAGUAAAAGUACAGUAAUACGCGUCGUUGCAUAGUAGCACACUGUAUUAAUUAUUGAUACUUACGUGAAAAGUCACUCAAUUAUACUCAAUUUUUGCUACAGUAAUUGCUGCAUCAUAUCUAUCAUAUCAUUGAUUCAAUUAUUGUCACAGUAUCAUCUGCAUAAUAUGAUAUAUUAUUAAAACAAUAAUUGAGACGACAAAGUUAUUUAUAUUAUUAAAUUGCAAUAUUUACAAUUUCUAGAAGUUAUAUCAAGGAGAGGUUUGGUAAUCUAAUUGCGCGCCAAUAUGGAGAAAUCCUUAUCGGAAAGCCCCCCCUUUCCUGGGAACGACCUAGUUGUUAAAUAUUGUGAGUUAUAAUAUUAAUGAUGAAUAAGUUCGUGUUGAUUAAAGAUGAAAUGGAUAGUUCCAUUUUGUUGGAAUUAUAAGUGUUAGUGGAAAUCGAUAUUUAUUUCGAUAAUAAUUGAUGUCUGGAGGUUAUAUUGACCAAUAGGGUAAUUAACCGGAUAAAUGAGCAAUUAAUUGUUAUUGAUUCACAUGAUUAUAACUAUUUGUUCACAUGUGUAUCCUAUUGAUUCACAUUCAUUUACUAUUAGUGGAGUUGGUGCAAGAUUGAUAAUACUUGCAUGACUAAGUUAAAAAUGGAGGUAAAGAUGGAGGUACUAUACUGUAAUUCAUAUUUUUACAUGUCUAGAACUAUUGAGUCACAUGAUUUACUAUUGAUUCACAUGAUUUACUAUUAGGGGAGGUGGUGCAUGUUUGAUAAUACUUACAGGACUAAAUUAAAAAGGAAGAAACAGAGGAAGGUAUUAUACUGGAAUAUUUCGAGCCCCAAAAUGUGCAAUUAUUGAAACUAUAUUUUCCUAUAAAUAGAUGCUCAUUCUUCCUUCAUUUCUCACCAAUUCACUAAAGCUAUAGAGCAAUUAUUAUAGAGAGAAAUUAUAUAGAGAAAGAAGAAGAGAAGUCUGCUACCUCACUAUUCUAGUAUCCAAUCUUCUUUUGAGGUAAGGGGUAUUAUUUCUUUCGUAUUCAUGAAGAGAGAUUCUGUUAUUCUAUUCUUUAUUAUUAUGUUGGAAUAACCUGUCUAUGCGAAGUACUGCAUACAUGGUGAAAUUCUUCUGUUAUUCCAUUCUUUAUUAUUCUGUUGGAAUAACCUGUCUGUGUGGUCUAUCGCAUGCCUGAUGAUUUCUGUUGUUAUUCCAUUCUUUAUUAUUUUGUUAGAAUAUCCUAUCUGUACGAAUUAUGCAUGACUUGGUUCCAUUCUUUAUUAUUAUAUUGGAAUAACCUGUCUAUGCGAAGUAUCGCAUACAUGGUGAAAUUCUUCUGUUAUUCCAUUCUUUAUUGUUAUGUUGGAAUAACCUGUCUAUGUGAAGUACCGCAUACAUGGUGAAAUUCUUCUGUUAUUCCAUUCUUUAUUAUUCUGUUGGAAUAACCUGUCUAUGUUGAUUUACCGCAUGCAUGGUGAAUGAUCCUUCGUAUUCAUUCUUUAUUAAAUUAUGGAAAUAAUCUGUCUACGUGGAUUACCAUAUGGCAGGUGAAAAUCCAUUAGCAAUUUUGUAUAUUCUAUUAUACUCGUAUGAGAUAUCAUUUCUUUUGUACUCGUUCUGGAAUAUCAUUUUCUUUGGUAUUUUUUUAUGAGUUACUAUUCAUGGGUUACUAUUCACUCUAGUAUUAUUCACUCGGGUAUUCGGGGCACUUUUCAUGUUGGGAUACUAUUCACGAGGUACUAUUCCUGAAGUACUAUUCACAAGGUACUAUUCACAGGGUACUAUUUACUCAAAAAAUAUAUUUCUUUUCUGUCCAAAUUAUUUUUGGUACAUGAAUAUUAUUCUUGAAUUUUACUCUACAAAGCAGUAUCAUGUUGACAAUUUGGACGUUAUUGAUUUCUGGAUAAAUUAAAUUAUAAAUCUUUAAAAUUUAUCCUUGAACUUGUUUUAUUGAAUUAUUAUGUCAUUGUCAUCAUCCUCAUGCUUAUAUUGUGAUUAAAGUCAUCUUUGGCUUACGUGCAUAGAUGGACUUGGUAUGAUUAUGACUAGGGAUUAUUCGGUAUAAUCAUAACCAUAAUGUAAUGAAUAAUGUGGUAAAAGUCCUCAUUGACCUGUGGUUCAAUGAUGGACAGUUGUUAGUAUGAUUAUGACCAGGGAUUAUUCGGUAUAAUCAUGACCAUUGAUUAUUACAUGAAUAUCCUUGGCCCGUAGUGCAGGGAUGAUUCGAUGAUGUGGUUUAUUUAUUAAGCUGAGUCUCAGCGAUAAAGUUGAUGAAAAACUUUUUAAAUCAUAGAAGAUAGUAGAUUUUAUGCUCUACUUGACUCUUCUAAUGGAUUGCUUAUUCCCCUGCAGUUGUUGAUCUAAAACUUGUUGUCUAUUGUAUUCUAUCAGUUGUUAUACUGUUGAAGGCUAAGGAUAAUUUAUUCUGCAUUAUCUUAGUCAUAAUAUUUCUUAAUGGGCUAGUUGAGCUCACCCUUUCUUUCAUUAUUCUCUUCAGGAAAUGAGAAUAUAGCUGGGACAAGUCGGGGAACGGAUUGACGAUCCAGAUGGUUGUUUUAGUAGUCCUCACUAUUAUGUGAAAUAGUGUGAUAAUAAUUGUAAUGAGGACUCCAUUGAGUGGAUAUUGACUAAGAAGGCAAUAUUCUUGUUUAAACUCUCAGCUAUGUUUUGUCGUAUUUUACACGACUGUUGUAUAAUUAAGUUAUAUUUGAUUUAUGUACCAUAUAUUUGGCGACCCAAGAUGGGUAAUGUAUGCCUGUUUUGGGGGUGUCACACAUAAU
Molecule: long non-coding RNA, 11611 nt
Filed under: Panax ginseng (ginseng)
Lineage: Eukaryota; Viridiplantae; Streptophyta; Magnoliopsida; Apiales; Araliaceae
Description: long non-coding RNA (PGIN_LNC009102)
Source: RNAcentral